UCGGGUUGUUUGGGAAUGCAGCCCAAAUCGGGCGGUAGACUCCGUCCAAGGCUAAAUACAGGCGAGAGACCGAUAGCGAACAAGUACCGCGAGGGAAAGAUGAAAAGGACUUUGAAAAGAGAGUCAAAGAGUGCUUGAAAUUGCCGGGAGGGAAGCGGAUGGGGGCCGGCGAUGCACCUCGGUCGGAUGCGGAACGGCGGUUAGCCGGUCCGCCGCUCGGCUCGGGGUGCGGAUCGAUGCGGGCUGCAUCGACGGCCGAAGCCCGGACGGAUCGUUCGUUCGAGGGGAUACCGUCGAUGCGGUCGAGGACAUGACGCGCGCCAUCGGCGUGCCCCGCGGGGUACACGCGCGACCUAGGCAUCGGCCAGUGGGCUCCCCAUCCGACCCGUCUUGUAACACGGACCAAGG
RNAcentral lists this ribosomal RNA (408 nucleotides) under Cyclophora tenuis. RNAcentral's name for it is "partial Eukaryotic large subunit ribosomal RNA". It matches the Rfam family "Eukaryotic large subunit ribosomal RNA", at positions 265 to 671 of the family's 3401-position model. Lineage: Eukaryota; Bacillariophyta; Fragilariophyceae; Cyclophorales; Cyclophoraceae. The record is from RNAcentral.